ACACGUAGGGGCCUGACGUUGUUCGGAAUCAUUGGGCGUAAAGGGCGCGCAGGCGGCCGUCCAAGUCCGGUGUUAAAUGGUCGGGCUCAACCCGAUCAUGCGCUGGAAACUGGGCGGCUUGAGUCCCGUAGGGGAUGCCGGAAUUCCAGGUGUAGGGGUGAAAUCGGUAGAUAUCUUGAAGAACACCGAUGGCGAAGGCAGGCAUCUGGGCGGGGACUGACGGUGAGGCGCGAAGGCGCGGGGAGCGAACAGGUUUAGAUUCCCUGGUAGUCCGCGCAGGAAACGAUGCGCACCAGGUGGCGGGCGGCAGCGCCCGGUACCGGAGCUAACGCGAUGAGUGCGCCGCCUGGGGAGUAUGCCCGCAAGGGUGAAACUCAAAGGAAUUGACGGGG
RNAcentral lists this ribosomal RNA (392 nucleotides) under uncultured bacterium. RNAcentral's name for it is "partial 16S ribosomal RNA". It matches the Rfam family "Bacterial small subunit ribosomal RNA", at positions 523 to 918 of the family's 1533-position model. The record is from RNAcentral.